RNAcentral lists this ribosomal RNA (366 nucleotides) under uncultured Ornithinimicrobium sp. Its description in RNAcentral is "bacterial SSU rRNA". It matches the Rfam family "Bacterial small subunit ribosomal RNA", at positions 1013 to 1382 of the family's 1533-position model. The record is from RNAcentral. Lineage: Bacteria; Bacillati; Actinomycetota; Actinomycetes; Micrococcales; Ornithinimicrobiaceae.
CCCCGCAAGGUCGGUACACAGGUGGUGCAUGGUUGUCGUCAGCUCGUGUCGUGAGAUGUUGGGUUAAGUCCCGCAACGAGCGCAACCCUCGUUCUAUGUUGCCAGCACGUGAUGGUGGGGACUCAUAGGAGACUGCCGGGGUCAACUCGGAGGAAGUGGGGAUGACGUCAAAUCAUCAUGCCCCUUACGUCUUGGGCUUCACGCAUGCUACAAUGGCCGGUACAGAGGGCUGCGAUACCGCGAGGUGGAGCGAAUCCCUUAAAGCCGGUCUCAGUUCGGAUUGGGGUCUGCAACUCGACCCCAUGAAGUCGGAGUCGCUAGUAAUCGCAGAUCAGCAACGCUGCGGUGAAUACGUUCCCGGGCCUU